AUGUAAGACCGCAAGAGGGCAAGGCCUGGGUUUCCAUCCCAUUUUCAUUGGAUAAUUUCCACCAGUUCUAUAAUGAAGCUAUUCAAAAGAGGCUAAACAGGCAAAGUACUUAAACGACGAUAUUCCAAAUGGCAGUCACUUCAGAGGGAGGCACUGGUACAUGCCAUGUGCUUUUAGACACAUCUUCGUUCUUCAGUACUUCCCAGGCCUGUUGAAUCUCACUCUCUGAGCAGUUGGCUUCUGGUAGCUGCCAUCUCUUCUGUGCAGCCUGACCGGCACAUGGUGGGCACUGCUCUCAGAGCAUGGUGAGGGUCCUGCUGAGCUGGAGGACACCUUCCUCAAGGCAUUGUGCUCUAACACCAUGGACCGUGUCUCCUGGCCCACCGCAGCCCCCCGAUACAGUCCCAUGCUACAGGAAGUGCAUUCAAGCUUCACAUUUAAACUGGAUUAACCAGUUUUCUGAAGUGAUCGGUGUCAUCCUUUGGACAACAACAUACUUGGAUGAAAAUGAAUGGCCAGUUCAGACCCUACUACCAUUGCCUGUGUCGCUUCCCUUCAGCACACGCCAUUCAGGACUAUCGUCAAAGGCAAAGACAUCCCUCCUGCAGCUUUUCCUCUCUCAGCCCAUGUUAUGUCUACAUUUCAUAGGAAGUGAACUGGUUUUAGUUUGCUUCUAGCUGCAACUCAGCCUGUGGGGUUUGUUCCCACCCUGCGUGCAUUUUCCAACACAUCCAGCCUCAGUCCUGGAGGUCUGCAGCACAUUUGAAUGGGCAGUCACAAAUGUUGGUCUUUAGUCUGGGAAAGAGAGAUGUCUGCCUGCAACUUACUCUGCAAAAGGCAUCAAAUAGCCCAGAAUUACUCACCUUUGGAAAACUUCAAAGAACCCUACAAGUUAGGGCAGUCUUUUUUAAGUGGAUGGGUUGUAUGGGAUGUGAGGGCAUGGAGUGAUGAGGAAGAGGAGGAAUCAGGUUUUAUAGAGAGAGGAGUGGUUUAGUCUAGAUGAUAGGACACAACGAAUUGCUCGGUGUGCAGCGGUUGAGCAGCUCACACUUAUUUCACGAAGAUCAGAAAAAUGUGCACAGUGGAAUAAAUACUGGUUGUUAUUUCA
This 1108-nucleotide long non-coding RNA is filed under the name Apteryx rowi (Okarito brown kiwi). RNAcentral's name for it is "lncRNA (ENSARWG00000012440.1)". The record is from RNAcentral. Lineage: Eukaryota; Metazoa; Chordata; Aves; Apterygiformes; Apterygidae.